CCUCACUGCUCCACUGAUCAUAGAGGACCUGCAAUAUGUCUGCCAGCUUUUGAUGAUCCUUGAAGGACCUCUAGUCCGAUGGUGAUUGAGAAUUGGUGUGCUGGAUGGCGGACUGUCUGAGGCUGUAGAGGCCAUCUCGAAAUCUCUACGCAGCCACCUCCUCAAAGGUCCGAUGGCCAGUCUCCUCAUCCUGGAGAGUUUCAAAUCAGUAGUACUCCUGCA
Molecule: long non-coding RNA, 222 nt
Filed under: Elaeis guineensis (African oil palm)
Lineage: Eukaryota; Viridiplantae; Streptophyta; Magnoliopsida; Arecales; Arecaceae
Description: long non-coding RNA (EGUI_LNC073508)
Source: RNAcentral